UUCAAUGGCUCAGAUCGCAGGGCCCAGAACAUUGAAGACAACCUCCAAAUGAGGAAGAGGGGGGCUUGAUCUGCUAAGAUUAGGAUUCCAUUUGUGCAUUCGGGGAUUUUGGGGCAAUCCGAUUUGGGGGUUUCUCGGCUACGAUUUGGUGAGUUAAAUCUUGUUUAGCAUGUCUCGAUUUGGUUUGGUGAUUAUUCAUUGGCUUUGGUUUGGUGAUUAUUCAUUGUCUUGCAUGUUUCGAUUUCUCCUUCGAAAUUGGAGAAGUUAGAGUGCUGCUAUUGUGGGUAUAUUGAUCUCUGAUUCCAAGCUCUUUGGUUAAAGGCGUUCUUCUUCAGCAAACCCUUCAGGCCAUUGUUGCUAUCAUUUUGUUCACGAAAAUCGGACAUGGUCUUCGAUUUCAGGUUUCGAUUGUAAAUUAUGGCGAGAAUUGCAUACCCAUAAAAUUUCGCAGACAGGGCUGCUAGGUGCUUUCGUUAUCAAAAAGCUUUAUUUUGCAAGGCACUGGACAAAUCAUGAGGUUGCUCUUAUGAUGCUCAUGGCAUACCUUUCAUAUAUGCUGGCUGAAGUA
Molecule: long non-coding RNA, 568 nt
Organism: Rosa rugosa (rugosa rose)
Lineage: Eukaryota; Viridiplantae; Streptophyta; Magnoliopsida; Rosales; Rosaceae
Exons: 3
Source: RefSeq, a predicted model, not a curated record